Long non-coding RNA from Daucus carota subsp. sativus, 2596 nucleotides. RefSeq lists it as uncharacterized. The transcript is spliced from 2 exons. NCBI's taxonomy places the organism in Eukaryota, Viridiplantae, Streptophyta, Magnoliopsida, Apiales, Apiaceae. The record is from RefSeq and is a predicted model, not a curated record.
AUUUUAUCCUUCAUAUGCUGAGAAGUGUUAAGUUGAUGUUGCUAUUGUGAUCGGUUAAAGAUUUCUACCUUGUCUUGUGUUUAUUUCCCACUUGUCUUCUCUCCCCUAUUAUUCCGGUAUUACUGUUAAGUUAGAAUGCAAUGAUAUGUAUAAUCGGGAAUGCUGAUGGUUGUUUUACUCAUGAUAGAUUUAUAGUUUUUCCAUUUAGAUUCUCGGCAGGUACCUUUUCUUUGAGAUUCCACUCAUUCUAUUUUCUUUUCAAUUUAGUUUACCCGGUUAGAUUGCUUUCUAUUCUUUACUGUUUAUUUAGCAAGGUUAAAUAGUCAGAAUCUCUUUUUACAUGCCUCUAAUGUAGAUAUAUAUUUAUUCUUUAGAAUUAGUAUAGACUAAUUUAUUUCGAGGAAAAUGUGCCAUGAUGUUAUAUGACUCAUGGGGGCCAUGAUGGAUGGCAAAUUAGUGCCUUUAAGAGGCAAUGUAUCAUCAUAUAUGAUGGAUGAGAUCUCUGACAUAUAAAACAUGUUAAAGUAACCAGUUUGACAAAAAGAAGGGUGAUGGAAAUAUUAGGUAAACGAAUGGUUAAAGCCAUGAAAUUUCACUUAUUAUUUCAUUCGUAACUGAUAUUUUUACCAAAGUGCUAGGAAUAGGUGAUGUAUACUGGAGGAUUUAUGGAAACUACAAACACGAUUUUAAUAUAAAAGCGUGAAGGAAUAUAAAUUAAUUCCCAAUUUACGCCCAGAGGAUUCUCCGGAAAUCCCAAAUUAUAGUAUGAACUCUGAAUAGACAAUAUAUAUAAAUUUAACACAUUAAUAGUGCCGAGUAACUAUUUGGUAAAGUUAUGGUAUCUUCAAAUAGAAGAUGCUAAUUAUACUCUAACCAAAAGGUAACUUAAUCCAUUAGUAAUUAGAUAUGAUAGACAUAAUUGUAUCCCUUAAAUUCUGCAGCGAAAAAUUCCUAAUAAUAAGUAACAUGAUUGUUCAAAUAUAAAUUAAUUCAUUUUUAGCCAGGAUUCCACGGAUUGGCAAGAUUGGUCAAAUCCUUAAUUAUAGCAGGCUCUUUUUUUGACAGAUUUAUAGUAGGCAAUUUGAAUAAACUGUUUAUAUAUUUAACACAUCAAUAGCAUAGAAAUUAAUUCCUUUUUAGCCUGGAGGAUUUCACGGAUUGGCAAGAUUGGUCAACUCCUUAAUUAUAGCAUGCACUUUAUUGACAGAUUUAUGGUAGGCAAUUUGAAUAGACUGUUUAUAUAAUUAACACAUUAAUAACAUAGAAUUAAUAUUUAGUAGCAUGAUAGAAGUAUCCAAUAAUACCAGAUCAUAAGGUUUAACUUAAUCCAUUAGCUAUUAGUUAUGAUAAUUAUAAUUGAAUUCCUUAAAUCUUGCAGUGAAGACUGCAUAGUUUUAAAUAACAUGAUCAUGCUGUGGAACUGAAAACUAUAUAAAUGACAGGCUGGCACGAUAAGAACUACUCUAAAGAGGGUGCUAAUUCAAAUUAGUAUCUUAUUAACUUAUUAGGAGAGAUCGCAAAUUUAGAAAUAAAUAUUCUUUAACUUAACAUAACUGAUAGGUGAGAAUACUACUUCCAAAGCAGUGAAGUUUAACUUUCUCCUAAUUUAUAUAGGAAAUGUACCUUUCCCCGGUAAUGUGUACGUUGGAGUCACUGUGUGUGCUCAGCUUAAGGUAUAUAACAUCUAUUAUGACAAUAGAUAUAGACUUGAAUUUACAAGUAAUUAUUGGGUGUUCUCAAAAAAUGUUUGCAGGAAAUGGUAGCAUGAUUGUUAACUAUAGACUGAGAGAUGCAUGGACUAGGUUAAACACAGAGAUGGAUAUAUACUGUUGGGAUAUCAGGGACAUGAGGAGUCGAGAAUGAGGUUAAUUAUUCAGACAAAGAAUCUCUGAAAAUGUUUAGUCAUUCAAUAGAAAAAUCGCACAGGACCUGUAUAAUUAAGUUUGAUUAACUGCUUGAUAAUAUACUGAGGCAUAUUUGUCAAACUUUAAUUGUAUGAUUCAUUGUUAAAUAGUAAUGAGACUUGGCCAAGUGAAAAGUACAUCAUAAUUGUUAAAAAUAGGAAAAUAUCCUUGAAGUAUUUUUAAGUAUCUAACCAAAGGUCUCCCUUUGGUUAGAUUUUUCUUUUUAUUUUUUAUUUUUUUAUUUCUAUUUUCUUUUGAUAUUUAUUAUUUCUUCUCUUAUAUCUUGUAAAAUUAUAUUGAUGCUGAGAUUUUAAUAAUUACUAAUAUUUUUAAUUAUUAAUAGUGAGAUUUUGUUUCUUUGUUUCAGGGAUGAGAAAGAAAUAGAGUGGAUCUAGAGCGUGGGACGUUUUAUUUCGGACAUUAAGUGUUAUUGUCUAAACUUCCGGAGACAUUUUCAUGUCUUUCGGUUAGAUAAUAAGCUUUUUGAAUGAAAGAAACUCCUCGGAGUAGCGGCGUUUUCUCGAUACGAGCAAGUGCAUUUCUGUUAAAAAAAAAAAAAAAAAAAAACCAUGUUUGCAUUCAUCAUUGUCAAACUUCUGAAGUUGAACUACAGCUUGAUCUGUUCUUGUGAUAUAGUGUAUAGAACAUGUAGUAUGUUAUCAAUGUAUGCAAUUGGGGAAUCUGUUGGAUUA